CAGCGCCGUCCCAUGCCGCUGCCUCACCGUCGAAGGUCCCCAAUGCGAAGAAGAACAAGGCGGCGGACGGCUCCGACAACACGAAGGCGAGGGGAAAGAAGCUUGCAGGGCGUUCGACGGCCGCGGCUACCGAAGCGCCGGCGAGCUCACUCAUUGAGCCGGCCGCCGACGCGCACCACGUUCUCAACGAUGAUGCAUACAUGUCAACUAUGGGUGUUGGGUCCAAAAAUUCGCAUUGGUCUCAAACCAAUGACAUACAUUUCGAAGACCAUGAGUUUGAGGUGGACGAGGAGGGUGAGGGCAUUGUCGACGCGCCGAAAGGAAGAGCGGGCAAUUACAGCACCAACGAUGACAAGUUACUAUGCUAUACUUAUUCGCAAGUGUCGAGGAAUCCAUCCAUUGGAGAUUGUCAAAAGUGGGCGGCCGUACAAAAGGCAGUUGACAAGAUUAACCCAAGUGGCACAAAUGAGGAUGAUCGAUACAACAUUGCACAAAACUUGUUCAAAGAAGAGACGAGGACAACCAAGAAGGGGAAGAUCAAGAAAGGCAGGAUCUUUACCUUGCCUCAUUGCUAUGAAGUGUUAAAGGAUGAUGAGAAAUGGAAGAAGCGUGAUGGUUUGGAUGAUUUGCAUUUGAGCAAUAAACGCAAGCGAGCAAUUGAGUUGAAUGAUGAUGAUGAUGAGGAGGAUGCAUCAAGUGAUGACGGCAAGAGAAGCCCCACACCCAACUCGGUUUCAUACUCGAAGCCAAAACGACCGGAUGGGUGCAAGAAAGACAAAACCGAAAAGAAGAAGAGGAAAGAAGAUGAUGAGCUCAAAAAUGCUAUGGAAGCAAUUGCCAACGCAAGAAGAGAAGCCAACGAGGUGAGGAAAAUGGCAAGGAACCAAGAUGACGCGACCGAGGAGAGAAGGGUGGCGGCCGAGGAGAGGAAGGUGGCUUUGGAGGAGAGGAAGGUGAGCAAUGAGGAGCGAACUAGAUUGUUGGAAUGGGAGAAGCACUUGUUCUUCUUGGACACAUCCAACCUCAAUGAAGCGCAAAAGGAAUAUGUCAAUCUUGCCCGUGAAGAAAUGUUGAUCCAAAAAAGAGCCAUGAUCCGCAUGGGUGGCGGUGGCCUCGGCGGCAUGGGUGGCGGUGGCUUCGGCGGCAUGGGUGGCGGUGGCCUUGGCGCCAUGGGUGGCGGUGGCCUUGGCGCCAUGGGAGGCAUGGGUGGCUUCGGAGCCAUGGGAGGCAUGGGUGGCUUCGGAGCCAUGGGAGGCAUGGGUGCACCUCCGGCCGCCAUGGGAGGUAUGGUGCAUCUCCGGCUGCCAUGGGAGGCAUGGGUGGCUUUGGAGCACCCUCCGACGCUAUGGACGCCAUGGGAGGCAUGA
RNAcentral lists this ribosomal RNA (1367 nucleotides) under Triticum aestivum (bread wheat). Its description in RNAcentral is "partial small subunit ribosomal RNA". The record is from RNAcentral. Lineage: Eukaryota; Viridiplantae; Streptophyta; Magnoliopsida; Poales; Poaceae.